Molecule: small nuclear RNA, 108 nt
Organism: Suricata suricatta (meerkat)
Lineage: Eukaryota; Metazoa; Chordata; Mammalia; Carnivora; Herpestidae
Source: Ensembl
GUACUUACUUUGGCAGCACACGGACUAAAACUGAGAAUGGUACAGAGAAGAUUAGCAUGGCCCCUGCGCAAACAUUUUGCUUAAAUUUGUGAAGCAUUCCAUACAUGG